This 384-nucleotide ribosomal RNA is filed under the name uncultured bacterium. RNAcentral describes it as "bacterial SSU rRNA". It matches the Rfam family "Bacterial small subunit ribosomal RNA", at positions 773 to 1149 of the family's 1533-position model. The record is from RNAcentral.
AGAGAAUAGAUACCCCGGUAGUCCUAGCCCUAAACGAUGCUCGUUAGAUGUGGGGAGGUAUCGACCCCUUCCGCGUCGUAGCUAAACGCAUUAAACGAGCCGCCUGGGGAGUACGGCCGCAAGGUUGAAACUCAAAGGAAUUGACGGGGGCCCGCACAAGCGGUGGAGCAUGUGGUUUAAUUCGACGCAACGCGAAGAACCUUACCUGGGCUUGAACUACUCGUGGUAGCUCGCUGGAAACAGUGAGCGACCCGCAAGGGAGCGAGCAGAGGUGCUGCAUGGUUGUCGUCAGCUCGUGUCGUGAGAUGUUGGGGUUAAGUCCCGCAACGAGCGCAACCCCUAUCCAAUGUUGCUAAUCCCGCAAGGGAUGCACUCUUUGGAAAC